CGUGUACUUGAGCAUGUUUACUCC
This 24-nucleotide non-coding RNA is filed under the name Arabidopsis thaliana (thale cress). Lineage: Eukaryota; Viridiplantae; Streptophyta; Magnoliopsida; Brassicales; Brassicaceae. The record is from RNAcentral.